UACGUAUGGUGCAAGCGUUAUCCGGAUUUACUGGGUGUAAAGGGAGCGUAGGUGGUAUGGCAAGCCAGAAGUGAAAACCCGGGGCUCAACCCCGCGGAUUGCUUUUGGAACUGUUAAACUAGAGUGCUGGAGGGGUAAGCGGAAUUCCCAGUGUAGCGGUGAAAUGCGUAGAUAUUGGGAGGAACACCGGAGGCGAAGGCGGCUUACUGGACAGUAACUGACACUGAGGCUCGAAAGCGUGGGGAGCAAA
This 250-nucleotide ribosomal RNA is filed under the name uncultured prokaryote. RNAcentral describes it as "partial 16S ribosomal RNA". It matches the Rfam family "Bacterial small subunit ribosomal RNA", at positions 524 to 772 of the family's 1533-position model. The record is from RNAcentral.